RNAcentral lists this long non-coding RNA (1071 nucleotides) under Bemisia tabaci. RNAcentral describes it as "lncRNA ENSSSA3NGG006238". The record is from RNAcentral. Lineage: Eukaryota; Metazoa; Arthropoda; Insecta; Hemiptera; Aleyrodidae.
CAAAUCGGGCGACGCGCUCUCCCCGGGUUUAGUCUCCCAUCGCAGUCGGCCCAGCGGGUCCCGCGGGCCCCCGCGCCCGGUUCCGCGGUCGGACACGAGAGCGCGCUGCUCGCCGAUUUGUUCGUAGAUCGCGGUGGUUCGCUCGUGCUCACAGAGGAAAAUCGGAGGAGCUACGGUGUAAACAAAUCAGGACAGCAAUGCUAGCAAAUCCAGUUUUCUCUAUGGUUCGUCUUCGACCGACUUUCGAAGUGUGAUUCGGGCCCUCCUUACUUCCCAAGUGUGUUAUUAUACUUAUGGUGCAGUGUUUCGUUGUUGAAGUAUGUCUUCGAGCUUUUAUAUUCUAAGACUAAGUAGAUACCGUUUGAAAAAUUCGAUUUUUCCCCCAACUAGAUUAUCAAAAAAAAGCUCAUUGCGUAUUCGACGCCUUGGUUCGGUGCAGUAUCGGGAGUGUUUUCUUACGCCAGGAUCCAAUGUUUGGAGUGAUUCGGAAAUUCUUAAGCAAGAUGGACACAGAGGAUAAAUUAAUCCUGAUCCUGAGUAUCUUCCUGUAAGUUGAUUCCAAUUUUAUUUUUUUCCCCUUUUUCUAAUUGGUUUAUCCGUUCCAAAGAUACUGUUCUUUGUGGGUACACCAAAUGGUUUAUAAAGUAGCCAAUGCAGCAACUUUUCUACUGUUCUUCCUGGUUUUGUUGCUGCCUCUGCUGUUGCAUUUGUUGCCUUGGCUAUUGUCGUGGCUGCUCAAAUAUUAGUGGUAUCACGCCCUACAGCACAUAUUUUAACAUGGUGCAUUACAAAUGUCAACCUUGAAUAAAGAUGAUACAAAGACAAUAACUUUUAUUUGGCGUGAGCCAACCUACUUCCUAACUUGACAGCUUUAUUGGUGAAACUUUUCAGCCAUAAGACGGUAACUUUUGGAGGAGAAUUUGAGGAUUGAGAGUAAAUCAACUCCUCCCGCUAUCCUCAGCAGCUUUCGCUCCAAAAACUCCUCCAAUUAUUCGUACAGCUUUUGGGCCAAAAAGCUCCAGUUACUAUUUAACCAACAAACAGAGAAAUUGGCGUCUAUUUUACAACUAA